This 467-nucleotide ribosomal RNA is filed under the name uncultured bacterium. Its description in RNAcentral is "partial 16S ribosomal RNA". It matches the Rfam family "Bacterial small subunit ribosomal RNA", at positions 28 to 506 of the family's 1533-position model. The record is from RNAcentral.
GACGAACGCUGGCGGCGUGCUUAACACAUGCAAGUCGAACGGAAAGGCCCUGCUUUUGUGGGGUGCUCGAGUGGCGAACGGGUGAGUAACACGUGAGUAACCUGCCCUUGACUUUGGGAUAACUUCAGGAAACUGGGGCUAAUACCGGAUAGGAGCUCCUGCUGCAUGGUGGGGGUUGGAAAGUUUCGGCGGUUGGGGAUGGACUCGCGGCUUAUCAGCUUGUUGGUGGGGUAGUGGCUUACCAAGGCUUUGACGGGUAGCCGGCCUGAGAGGGUGACCGGCCACAUUGGGACUGAGAUACGGCCCAGACUCCUACGGGAGGCAGCAGUGGGGAAUAUUGCACAAUGGGCGGAAGCCUGAUGCAGCAACGCCGCGUGCGGGAUGACGGCCUUCGGGUUGUAAACCGCUUUCGCCUGUGACGAAGCGUGAGUGACGGUAAUGGGCAAAGAAGCACCGGCGAACUACGU